AACGUAGGACACAAGCGUUAUCCGGAGUUACUGGGCGUAAAGGGCGUGCAGGCGGUUUCUUAAGUCAGGCGUGAAACCAUUCGGCUAAACCGGGUGUAGUCGUCUGAGACUGGGAGACUAGAGUGUGGUAGAGGCGUGUAGAAUUCCGGGUGUAGUGGUGAAAUGCGUAGAUAUCGGGAGGAACACCCGUGGCGAAGGCGGCUUCCUGGGCCACCACUGACGCUGAGACGCGAAAGCGUGGGGAGCGAACGGG
This 253-nucleotide ribosomal RNA is filed under the name uncultured bacterium. Its description in RNAcentral is "partial 16S ribosomal RNA". It matches the Rfam family "Bacterial small subunit ribosomal RNA", at positions 524 to 776 of the family's 1533-position model. The record is from RNAcentral.